Molecule: long non-coding RNA, 1555 nt
Organism: Dasypus novemcinctus (nine-banded armadillo)
Lineage: Eukaryota; Metazoa; Chordata; Mammalia; Cingulata; Dasypodidae
Source: Ensembl
GGUGAACAGGAAACGGGCCGAGACGGCGGCGGGCGCAGCGCCAGCGGGGCGGCCUGGCGGCCAGAGGGCAGACCCGCCGCGCUCCCAGCGCCCCUGCCCAAGCGGGAAGGCUCGGCGGGGGCCUCUGCCUCCCCCACAGAGCCCUGCCCGGGAGGGAACGCGGGAAGGCCGAGCAGAAAGACGAAGGCGGGAUCAUUGUUGGGGUGCGGAAGAAAGCAAACAGCAGGCGCCGCCGCCUCGCUAAGCCGCUCUCCCGCCCUCCCCCCGCCCCGCACCCUCUGCCCCCGCUCUGCCUGCUGGGCAAACCUGAUAGCUGCCCUUGCCCAGAAUAUGUGCCCAGAGAGGUCACCCUUCGAAUCAAGAGAAAGAAAAAGGAAGGCUUACCGCUUCCCCCCGCAAGUGCACAACCACGACGACGGGUGGCGACUCUGUCGGGAGAACCUUCUGCCCCAAGCCAGAGCGGCGACCUCGGGUGUCCCAGCCACCCCCUCGGGAUGCUCACCGUCCACAGCGACCACGAGAGGCAGAACGUUAUCAGAGCAUAUGGAGAUAUUUGCACCAAAGAAGCAGCCUGAACCAGGAGAGGAAAAAAAAUAGGAUUUUAGUAAGAGAGUGCUCUAAAAUCUACAGCUGCCCAGGCUGAGCACUUAGCCCAUUCCUUUCUGUCCACCUGAGAGGAAGGACAGAUCAAUAUUAUCUCCAUGAAUGAUGGUUCUUCUCACUGGAGAGAGAGCCUUUCCAAAACAAACAAACAAAAAAAUACUAAAAAAAUCUCUAAAUGUAUUUUGGAAGUUCUAUGGAGAACAUCAUUUGUUCCUACAACAUUUUUGUACAACAUCAUCCUGGGUGUGUCAUGCUGGAAGAUCUUUUGUUUGGCCUGUAGGCGGGAGCGGCCUCUUUUUGUCUUUGUGGUCACCGAGCCAGCAUAGUUCUCAACAUGAAGUCAGGUCUUGGUGAACAUAAGAAAGGUGGAAGGGGAAGGCAGAGGAAGGAACAUUUAUUCAGAUGGCAUCCUAGCCCUUUAGCUUCCAGCAAUCUCUUACGGAAAAAAGUAAACCAAAGGGAAGAACUAGCCAAGCAUAUGUUCUACAGGCCAAAGAAACAGAACUAUGGGCACUGAAGAUGGCUGGGCUCACCAGCCUCAUUGCCGUCAUUCUCUCCAACCAUCCCAGUCCUAGAGCUUCAGCUCCAUGUAUCAGAAGCUCCUCAUUCAAUCCCUCACUCAUUUGACCCACAGACACUGAGCACCUACUAUGUGUCAAGCAACUCAUGAUUUUAGAACACCCAGACCCAUUGGACAGGCAGGACAAAAAAUUCCACCAAAGCAUUGGCUCACCUCUUCUACUUUCUCCCAAGCAAUGAAAAGAAAACACACUAGAAUUCACUGGAAAAUUGAUUUGUCACAUAAAGCACCUCCAGAACAUCCAGCUCUUAAUAAAUGUCCUUGUUGAAUUAAUACCUAUUGUUGGGGGAAAAAUGUGAUGCCUCUUCAGUGGACUUGUUGGCUUCUAAACUAACCUCUACUCUCCUCUCUUCUUUCCAAACUGGACGCCCA